GAACGAACGCUGGUCUUCAGGCCUAACACAUGCAAGUCGAACGGUAACAGGAAGAAGCUUGCUUCUUUGCUGAUCAGCGGCGGACGGGUGAGUAAUGUCUGGGAAACUGCCUGAUGGAGGGGGAUAACUACUGGAAACGGUAGCUAAUACCGCAUAACGUCUCAAGACCAAAGAGGGGGACCUUCGGGCCUCUUGCCAUCAGAUGUGCCCAGAUGGGAUUAGCUAGUAGGUGGGGUAACGGCUCACCUACGCGACGAUCCCUAGCUGGUCUGACAGGAUGACCAUCCACACUGGAACUGAAACACGGUCCACACUCCUACGGGAGGCAGCAGUGGGA
This 337-nucleotide ribosomal RNA is filed under the name uncultured Escherichia sp. RNAcentral describes it as "bacterial SSU rRNA". It matches the Rfam family "Bacterial small subunit ribosomal RNA", at positions 27 to 359 of the family's 1533-position model. The record is from RNAcentral. Lineage: Bacteria; Pseudomonadati; Pseudomonadota; Gammaproteobacteria; Enterobacterales; Enterobacteriaceae.